RNAcentral lists this ribosomal RNA (351 nucleotides) under Triticum aestivum (bread wheat). RNAcentral describes it as "partial small subunit ribosomal RNA". The record is from RNAcentral. Lineage: Eukaryota; Viridiplantae; Streptophyta; Magnoliopsida; Poales; Poaceae.
AUGCACUCCAGCAGCCUCCUGCAAUCCCUACCAGUCCCCUCUCAGAUCUGGGCAGAUAUUUCUAUGAUUUUUGUGAAGGGCCUUCCACGGGUGCACGACAAAUCAGUCUUUCUUUCAGUGGUGGAUCGAUUCUCCAAGAUGGCACGCUUCAUUCCGCUUGGUCACCCCUACUCGGCAGCAACAGUCAUCCAUGCUUUCUUCACCGACAUCGUACAGCUUCACGGCCUACCAGAGACGAUAGUAUCUGAUCGAGACCCUGUGUUUACAAAUUACAAGUCAGUUCUGGUCAGAACUCUUCCGCCUCUCCAGGGUUCAGCUCCACAUGAGCUCUGCCUUCCAUCCGCAGUCUGA